This 886-nucleotide long non-coding RNA is filed under the name Solanum tuberosum (potato). Its description in RNAcentral is "long non-coding RNA (STUB_LNC003644)". The record is from RNAcentral. Lineage: Eukaryota; Viridiplantae; Streptophyta; Magnoliopsida; Solanales; Solanaceae.
GCCUUGGUGGCUGCCCUUCCCAUGCACCACCAAACACCUAUAGGUCACCUAGGCUACUAGGUCUAAUGCACACCUUAAUGCCCUACCAUUAAACUCCUCAUUCACAACACAUAAAGUCUCAUUUACGAAACUAUUUCACAUACGACACACUAUAGAACACUAGCUCUUGGCUCUAGUUCAUCCUAAUUCAUUUUGAGGGGUGUUACAAUAUCCCCCACUUGGGAACAUUCGUCCUCGAAUGACACUUUAAAACAUUAAGGGUAAUUGCGCAAGACUAGCAGCCCACCAUCAAGCCUCUAACCGUAUAAACAAUACACAAAACAAAGGAGGAAAAACAAAUUCACAUCUAAUCCUCGUAUAAGCAUCAUGCAAUUCAAGAAAGUAAAAGCACACUCACUAACUCCUUAUGCACCUCACAUUACCAUUCCUUUCAUUUCAUUAUUGGAGGAACUUCCUUCUCCACAUUACCAAGCCCAUUUCAACAUCAACGAAUCCAAUAAGCAAUAGACACAUCAUGCAAUUCUUCAAGAACACUCUUAAGCAUGCUCAACUAAUCAACUCCAACAACUUUUAGCAACUCACCAAUUUACGCAUAUAAGGAGAACAACAAUCAUGAAACUCAUUUUCUCAUUUAAAUCAAGAACUCAAUUUAAAGCAUGCGUCAUUAUAGAUAGAAAUAUAGAAACUCAUUUUUCACACAAGACUCCAAAAACCAUGCAUCAUGCUUUUACAAUUUUGUGACUCAAGCUUGAUUUGGAAUAGAAGGAAGGGACAAGAAUAUCCAAACUCACCUCAACUCAUCAUUCAACAUACCAUCCCCCACUUAGUAGAAACCCAUCUAAACCAACACAAACGGAUUCCAACACAAAACUAAAAAUUAUGACUU